Molecule: ribosomal RNA, 366 nt
Filed under: uncultured eukaryote
Lineage: Eukaryota
Description: partial 18S ribosomal RNA
Rfam family: Eukaryotic small subunit ribosomal RNA
Source: RNAcentral
CAAUAGCGUAUAUUAACGUUGUUGCAGUUAAAACGCUCGUAGUUGGAUUUCUGGAGGGAGCGUCGGCCCGUAUUUACGAGUGCGUGACGUCUCUGUCCAUCCUUGCGGGAAGGCACGGCAUUGAUUUGUUGUGUCGGAUCGCAUCAUUUACUGUGAAAAAAUUAGAGUGUUCAAAGCAGGCUUUCGCUUGAAUACAUUAGCAUGGAAUAAUAAGAUAGGACUUUGGUGCUAUUUUGUUGGUUGAGCCUAAAGUAAUGAUUAAUAGGGAUAGUUGGGGGCACCUGUAUUGCGUUGUCAGAGGUGAAAUUCUUGGAUUUACGCAAGACAAACAGCUGCGAAAGCGUCUGCCAAGGAUGUUUUCAUUAA